This 929-nucleotide ribosomal RNA is filed under the name uncultured organism. Its description in RNAcentral is "bacterial SSU rRNA". It matches the Rfam family "Bacterial small subunit ribosomal RNA", at positions 8 to 916 of the family's 1533-position model. The record is from RNAcentral.
AGAGUUUGAUCCUGGCUCAGGACGAACGCUGGCGGCGUGCUUAACACAUGCAAGUCAAGGCAGAAAGUACCUUCGGGUGCGAGUAAACUGGCGAACGGGUGAGUAACGUGUAGGUAAUUUUCCUUUAAGUGGGGUAUAGCCAGGCGAAAGCCUGAUUAACACCGCAUACAAUCAUGAUUCGAUGGAGUUGUGAUAAAAGAUGGGUUCCUUCGGGACCAUUGCUUAAAGAUAAGCCUGCAUCUGAUUAGUUAGUUGGUAGGGUAACGGCCUACCAAGACCACGAUCAGUAGCUGUUCUAAGAGGAAGAUCAGCCACAUUGGGACUGAGAUACGGCCCAGACUCCUACGGGAGGCAGCAGUGAGGAAUUUUGCGCAAUGGGUGAAAUCCUGACGCAGCAACGCCGCGUGACCGAUUGAAGCUUUUAGGAGUGUAAAGGUCUGUCGCGAGGGAAGAAAAUAACCGAGAAGAAAAGUUCGGUAGUUGACGGUACCUCGCAAGCAAGCUCCGGCUAACUUCGUGCCAGCAGCCGCGGUAAUACGAGGGGAGCAAGCGUUGUCCGAAAUAACUGGGCGUAAAGGGUACGUAGGCUUUUUUGUAUGUUUUCGGUGAAAGUCACAGGCUUAACUUGUGAAUUGCCGGAAAAACUGCAGAGAUUGAAUCCGAAAGGGGAAAGCAGAAUUCCUGGUGUAGCGGUGAAAUGCGUAGAUAUCAGGAGGAAUACCAGUGGCGAAGGCGGCUUUCUGGUUCGGAAUUGACGCUGAUGUACUAAAGCGUGGGUAGCAAACAGGAUUAGAUACCCUGGUAGUCCACGCCUUAAACUAUGGAUACUUGAUGUCGGGGCGUUCGGUCGACCCGGUGUCGUAGCUAACGUGUUAAGUAUCCCGCCUGGGGACUACGGUCGCAAGACUGAAACUCAAAGGAAUUGACGG